AUGACUACUCAAAGCUAUCAAUCUUCUUAUAUUGUGCUUGUUUUAUGCAUGAGUUUUAUUAUGAUUUCUGAAAUUGUUACAAGUUUGGAGACUCCAAUAUUAGUCGAAAAGCCAAUAUGUAUUCAUGGCUUGGCUGUAGACCCACGAUUUUGCUGCAUAGGGAGUUGUAGUCCCAGUUGUUCUACAGAUUGCAUUAAUAAGGGAUUUGUAAAAGGUGGACAGUGUAAUUCUCAACUUGGAAAUAAGUGUUGUUGUGUUGUAUAA
Non-coding RNA from Vicia faba (fava bean), 264 nucleotides. The record is from the annotation of a GenBank genome assembly. NCBI's taxonomy places the organism in Eukaryota, Viridiplantae, Streptophyta, Magnoliopsida, Fabales, Fabaceae.